This 77-nucleotide transfer RNA is filed under the name Bacteroidota bacterium. RNAcentral's name for it is "Bacteroidetes bacterium tRNA-Asp". It matches the Rfam family "tRNA". From Rfam's summary of the family: Transfer RNA (tRNA) molecules are approximately 80 nucleotides in length. Their secondary structure includes four short double-helical elements and three loops (D, anti-codon, and T loops). Further hydrogen bonds mediate the characteristic L-shaped molecular structure. tRNAs have two regions of fundamental functional importance: the anti-codon, which is responsible for specific mRNA codon recognition, and the 3' end, to which the tRNAs corresponding amino acid is attached (by aminoacyl-tRNA synthetases). tRNAs cope with the degeneracy of the genetic code in two manners: having more than one tRNA (with a specific anti-codon) for a particular amino acid; and 'wobble' base-pairing, i.e. permitting non-standard base-pairing at the 3rd anti-codon position. Lineage: Bacteria; Pseudomonadati; Bacteroidota. The record is from RNAcentral.
GGGCACUUGGAGCCGAGCGGUAAGGCGCCUGAUUGUCUAUCAGGAACAGGCGGGUUCGAAUCCCGUAGUGCCCGCCC